RNAcentral lists this ribosomal RNA (495 nucleotides) under uncultured bacterium. Its description in RNAcentral is "partial 16S ribosomal RNA". It matches the Rfam family "Bacterial small subunit ribosomal RNA", at positions 28 to 507 of the family's 1533-position model. The record is from RNAcentral.
GACGAACGCUGGCGGCGUGCCUAAUACAUGCAAGUCGAACGCUGAAGGAGGAGCUUGCUUCUCUGGAUGAGUUGCGAACGGGUGAGUAACGCGUAGGUAACCUGCCUGGUAGCGGGGGAUAACUAUUGGAAACGAUAGCUAAUACCGCAUAAGAGUAGAUGUUGCAUGACAUUUGCUUAAAAGGUGCAAUUGCAUCACUACCAGAUGGACCUGCGUUGUAUUAGCUAGUUGGUGGGGUAACGGCUCACCAAGGCGACGAUACAUAGCCGACCUGGGAGGGGGAUCGGCCACACUGGGACUGGGACACGGCCCAGACUCCUACGGGAGGCAGCAGUAGGGAAUCUUCGGCAAUGGACGGAAGUCUGACCGAGCAACGCCGCGUGAGUGAAGAAGGUUUUCGGAUCGUAAAGCUCUGUUGUAAGAGAAGAACGAGUGUGAGAGUGGAAAGUUCACACUGUGACGAUAUCUUACCAGAAAGGGACGGCUAACUACGUG